This 251-nucleotide unclassified non-coding RNA is filed under the name uncultured Pseudobdellovibrionaceae bacterium. RNAcentral describes it as "uncultured Bdellovibrionaceae bacterium contains 16S-23S intergenic spacer region". It matches the Rfam family "Bacterial small subunit ribosomal RNA", at positions 524 to 776 of the family's 1533-position model. Lineage: Bacteria; Pseudomonadati; Bdellovibrionota; Bdellovibrionia; Bdellovibrionales; Pseudobdellovibrionaceae. The record is from RNAcentral.
UACGAGGGGUCCUAGCGUUGUUCGGAAUCAUUGGGCGUAAAGCGGGUGUAGGCGGAUUAGAAAGUCAGAUGUGAAAGCCCUGGGCUCAACCCAGGAAGUGCAUUUGAUACUCCUGAUCUUGAGUGUGGGAGAGGCUAGUGGAAUUCCUGGUGUAGUGGUGAAAUACGUAGAUAUCAGGAGGAACAUCGGUGGCGAAGGCGGCUAGCUGGACCAACACUGACGCAGACCCGAAAGCGUGGGGAGCAAACAGG